GYCAASUCGAACGCUUUUUCUUUWCCSGAGCUUGCUCCUCCGAAAGAAAAAGAGUGCUGUACGGGUGAKUAACACGUGGGUAACCUGCCCAUYASAWGGGGAUAACKCUUGGAAAUGGUGCUAAUACCGUAUAACACUAUUUUCCCCCUGGAASAUAGUUGAAAGGCGCUUUUGCGUCACUGAUGGAUGGACCCGCGAUGCAUUAGC
Molecule: ribosomal RNA, 207 nt
Filed under: Enterococcus gallinarum
Lineage: Bacteria; Bacillati; Bacillota; Bacilli; Lactobacillales; Enterococcaceae
Description: partial 16S ribosomal RNA
Rfam family: Bacterial small subunit ribosomal RNA
Source: RNAcentral